GAUAAGGUAAGAUAAAAAGUCAAAUCUAAAGAAAAGAAAUACGUCGACUAAGGAAAAUUUCGAAUUUGUAUUUUUCCAAGUUUCUCAUCAAUACUUUUUCUGAGAAUCGCGUCCUGCGCGCAGAAACUCACCCUUUGCCAACCCCCGCGUAGAACGCGACGCCCUCGAGGCAACUCCUGCCUUGGAUGGGUGGCACGCAGGCGUCAACAUGGCCGCGGCACGUCGACUCCAUCCGCCUAAACGAGUCUGUCCUUCGUUUAACUCCUAUCAGUAAUUAAUAAAACGCCACCAAGUGCUCCUUGACCGAAGAUGUCGCGUAAAAGUAGAAACUCGAUUGAAGAGAAAACAAUAUAUUUUUUGUGAUGUGUUAAUAUCGACUCGAGAGGAAACGAGUGUAUCCUUUAAAACAAUGCGAUUAUCAUCUAAGUAAUUUAUAUCGCCGUGAAGUGUUUCUUACGGAAGAAAAUAUUAGUUAAUGAAUGACAAAAAUGAAAUCAUCGUUGACGUUCUGUUUAUGUAGACUUCAAAUAAUUCUUUUUUAAAGAAAAUAUUUCUCGUAGAAUUUCUUGAACGUUAACGACGUCUUUCGAUUUUUAUUUGCAUGAUCGAAACAGUUAUUAACAAAAAAUCUGAAUUUGUUUAACGCAAUAUAUCCCAAAACAUACAUACCCUAAUUAUUAUAAAUUGUCGAAUUAACCGUUCCCAUAUAGCACAUUUCUUUCAAAAUAUUCAAUGUUCCUCUCUUCGAGUCUAAAACCACAUUGAAUAUGAUCGUAUAUUAGUUUCUAAUUAUUUACAUCGUUCGUCCUUUUAUUGAAAACAUUAUACACAAGGAAAUAACAUUCGUCAAAUUAAGAAACGAUAAUUCACUGCUUAUACUCUUCCAGGAAAGAGAGAGAGAGCACAAUAUAAACAGAGAGUAUUCCAACGGAAGAAGAAAAGAGAAAGAGAGAGAGAGAGAGAGAGACAAAAAAACAAGAGAGAGGAAUAAAAAGCACAAAAAACGACAUAUCUUGAACGGUAGUUCAUUAAAGCAGAGGGACGACUCGAGUUAACCCCUCGCCGAUGAAACUGAGUCACGUCGUGCAGCCGGCUGGCCGUAUAUGCAAAUCACUCGCGUGGGGUAUUCCCCUUUUCUCCCUCUUCCUAUUUCCCUUUCUCUUCGCUAACAUUGAGUGGAGAAAAAAAAAGAGACUUCGAUGGUGGGGAUGAACGAGAAAGCUCAUUAGUUAUUUUUCUAUCGUGAUAGGGGUAUUCCGUUGGUAAACGGCAGCCAUCGUAACUUCCCUCACAGUUACCACUACUACUGCUACCACUACUCCUUCCACCACCACAAGCAUUGACCACCAAACUGCUCUUGAAUUGUUUAUGCGAGAGCACGCUUUAUGGUACGAUAGGUGGGUUUAUAUCAGUGACCCAAAAACAUAUCGUACUUUUAUACGAAUUAUCGAGCACGACGAUAUAAGUUAUGUUUUUAUUGUUUUUUUCUAUUUAUAUAAACAAUUAAAGAAAGAGCAAAUUUCAUCGCGUUUCUAUUAUAUUAUGUGUACAACUUGUUUUUAUUGUAAUAUAUUUUAACGACAAUAACAAUUAUGAAGAAUAAAUCAUUCUUUUUGAAAAAUAACACAUUACGAAUAAUAAGUUAAUGCGAUAAUUUAGAUUUCACUCUGACUUCGUCGUUUCCCGAGUCAGUGAUUCGUAAUAACGUAUGCAAGCGCUAACACGCGAGAGAAAUCGUUCGAUAAAUCAAAUCAGAGAGUCAUUGUACAUUCGCGGCCUUCUCAGGUAUAGCACAGGAUUGCCAAAAUUGCGUCGGAGAAAGAGAGAGAGAGAGAGAUAGAGAAAGGGAAAGAGAAAGAGGGUAGAUGAAAAUGAUUGAGAGGAAAAAGGAGCGAGUCGUGAGAAUGAAAAGCGCAAGGAAGGAUAUUCAAAUUUGGAACCCUCGUUAGUCCUCGAAUUUCUCAAUGUGCAAUAAUUUAUCAUCGGGCCCCGCUGAGGUGAACGAUCGUAUAAUACCGGACUACCUGCAUGCAUAAUUUAUCCGGAUUUUCAAGAAAGAAAGAAAGAAAGAAGGAAGGAAGGGCCCAAAAAGAAAAGGGUUGCUUCCGCAGGAACGUAUAUCGAUUCUUUUAUUUUUCCGUUUUUACCCUUCUGGUAUGUAAACGAAAUAAAAUGAUAAGUAAAAAAUUAAAUUCACCGAUAUGCGUUUAUUAAAUCACGAGAUGAACUUGCAGACAACAUUUCUAGCAAGUUACACCGUAGUCGGAAGAUUCAGUAUUGAACAAGAUCAAAGUAUUUUUUCUAGCUAGAAUAAUCCACAGAAAAAGGGAUAAAAAGUUCAACGAUACAGCCCUGGACCCUUUGCACAGGAUCCUACAUGUCACUGGUGUGUACCUGUGAGACCAGGAAGGAGCCCUCAACCCUUUUCCUUAGAGAAGGAGAGACCUCUUUUUAUGCGUGCAUCAGGAAAAAAGCAAGAAAGAGAGAGAGAGAGAGAAAAGAGGAAAAGGAAACUUCCCUCCCUCUCGGAUGCUAGCAAUCCUACCCCACCGGUUUCAUCCUGCUUUUUCACGAUGAAAAGGCCUCCAAUGGGGGUUGAUUCAAUGGUAUUCUAAUUAUAUGCAAAGACGUAUGACUACGAUGUACCAUCGGUCUCUUAUGUAAGAAAGAAGGAUAUGCUUACGUAACGUACGAUUCCUUUUCCGGUAGGAGCACGUAAUUCUCCUUUGAAAGCGAAAUAGAUCCGAGCUAAUCGCGAAACGGAACUACCUACUACCGUCGCAGUGGAACAUUAUUUUAUUUUUUACCUUCGAUUCGUCAUAUUUUUAUUUAUAUAUAGUACGAACGGUGCGCUUGUUUAUCGAUCCCCUAUCCAAUUGUAGACAUUCUCGAAAUUCAAUUUACGUAGUCUUCUUUAACCGCUUGUAUAACUUUCCCUUUCAGUUGCGAUAAGAUAUAUGUAUGUAUGAGACGAGAGACUAUCGAUGAACGUAUGAGUUAUCGUCGAUGCCCAAAUUGCUUGCCAAGCGCGGUGAUGUAGAGCUCCAGGCCGAAGAUUUAUUUCUCGAAUGGAAUGCAAUAGCCUGUUCUUUGAUGUCAUCCUUAAAGAAUCCAAGAACGCCAGGAGGAAAUAUCGAUAUUCCAUGGCUGUAUCGGCCAAAAUUUCAAGCAUGGCCGAGCCGUUUGAUGACAAACGCACCCUCGCAGGCAGAGAGUGGAAGCCGAAAUGCGUCCACCCCGCCUAUUCGAGGGGGAUGAAUUCGACCAAUUGAUGGGUUUCGAGUUGGGCCUGGAUCAAUCAACGAACGGCGUCGUUCAAAGCCAGUGGCCAUUCCUACACCACUGACCUCGUUCGUUGCUUUUUCCUUUUUCAAAAGCAAAUUGGAUUUUUAAUCCCAUGCGUAUGCCGACACAGGACGGUACUCUGUCCAAAUUUCGUUUCGUGUCUUUCGAUACACUUUAAUCUUUGAAACAUCCUACAAAUAUGCAAACUUAUUCGAGUGGACAAAAACAGUCGAAAUUCUGCGUGAAAUUCUUUGUUAUAUUUUCAAAUAAUAAAUGAUACAAUAUAAACCUCUCUUUAAUUUGUAAUCAUCAAAGAAAUACAA
Molecule: long non-coding RNA, 3608 nt
Organism: Polistes canadensis
Lineage: Eukaryota; Metazoa; Arthropoda; Insecta; Hymenoptera; Vespidae
Exons: 3
Source: RefSeq, a predicted model, not a curated record